Molecule: ribosomal RNA, 404 nt
Filed under: uncultured prokaryote
Also listed under: 1 other name
Description: bacterial SSU rRNA
Rfam family: Bacterial small subunit ribosomal RNA
Source: RNAcentral
UGGGGAAUAUUGGGCAAUGGGGGAAACCCUGACCCAGCAACGCCGCGUGAAGGAAGAAGGCCUUCGGGUUGUAAACUUCUUUUGUCAGGGAAGAUAAUGACGGUACCUGACGAAUAAGCUACGGCUAACUACGUGCCAGCAGCCGCGGUAAUACGUAGGUGGCGAGCGUUGUCCGGAUUUACUGGGUGUAAAGGGCGUGUAGGCGGGACUGCAAGUCAGAUGUGAAAUGCCGAGGCUUAACCUCGGAGCUGCAUUUGAAACUGUAGUUCUUGAGUAUCGGAGAGGCAGGCGGAAUUCCUAGUGUAGCGGUGAAAUGCGUAGAUAUUAGGAGGAACACCAGUGGCGAAGGCGGCCUGCUGGACGACAACUGACGCUGAGGCGCGAAAGCGUGGGGAGCAAACAGG